Molecule: ribosomal RNA, 253 nt
Filed under: uncultured bacterium
Lineage: Bacteria
Description: partial 16S ribosomal RNA
Rfam family: Archaeal small subunit ribosomal RNA
Source: RNAcentral
UACCCGCAGCACAAGUGGUGGUCAUUAUUAUUGGGCCUAAAGCGUCCGUAGCUGGCGUGUUAGAUGCCUGGGUAAAUCGAUGCGCUCAACGCAUCGAAUUCCGGGUAGACCGGCAUGCUCGAGACCGGGAGAGGUGUAGGCUACUCGCGGGGUAGGGGUAAAAUCCUGUAAUCCUGCGGGGAGGACCAGUGGCGAAGGCGCUACACUAGAACGGCUCUGACAGUGAGGGACGAAGCCCUGGGGCGCAAACCGG